RNAcentral lists this transfer RNA (72 nucleotides) under Bacillus cereus. RNAcentral describes it as "tRNA-Gly". It matches the Rfam family "tRNA". From Rfam's summary of the family: Transfer RNA (tRNA) molecules are approximately 80 nucleotides in length. Their secondary structure includes four short double-helical elements and three loops (D, anti-codon, and T loops). RNAcentral also lists the same sequence under 8 other names. Lineage: Bacteria; Bacillati; Bacillota; Bacilli; Caryophanales; Bacillaceae. The record is from RNAcentral.
GCGGGAGUAGCUCAGUUGGUAGAGCGCAACCUUGCCAAGGUUGAGGUCGCGAGUUCGAGACUCGUCUCCCGC